Molecule: long non-coding RNA, 1112 nt
Organism: Eriocheir sinensis (Chinese mitten crab)
Lineage: Eukaryota; Metazoa; Arthropoda; Malacostraca; Decapoda; Varunidae
Exons: 3
Source: RefSeq, a predicted model, not a curated record
UUAUGUUGAUUAUAGCCUUCUUGUCAUUAUUUUUAAGCUCACUCCCUUGUUCGUUAUAGCCUUCUUUUCCUUAUAUUUAUGUGAUGCGGUUACUCCCUUGUUCGUUAUAGCCUUCAUCUUAUUAUAUUAAAGGUUACUCCCUUGUUCGUUAUAGCCUUCAUCUUAUUAUAUUAAAGGUUACUCCCUUGUUCGUUAUAGCCUUCAUCUUAUUAUAUUAAAGGUUACUCCCUUGUUCGUUAUAGCCUUCAUCUUAUUAUAUUAAAGGUUACUCCCUUGUUCGUUAUAGCCUUCAUCUUAUUAUAUUAAAGGUUACUCCCUUCUUCGUUAUAGCCUUCAUCUUAUUAUAUUAAAGGUUACUCCCUUCUUCGUUAUAGCCUUCAUCUUAUUAUAUUAAAGGUUACUCCCUGUUUUGUUCUUCGCUCAUUUUCCGUUUUUUCCACUGCAAGUGUGCAUAUUUAUUUAUUUAUUUAUUAUUCAUUUAUUUAUUUAAUGUUAUUUGUAGUAGUUAACUGAGGGGGGCACUACCCUGGCCUCCUCUUCCUCUAAUUCUCUUACUUCACACAUUUAUCUUAAUACUUCACACUAUUGUCCAUAUGCUUCAUUUUUUUAUUUUUUUAUUCAUGACUUUUUAUCCAUACCUCACACUUUUCUUAGUAUUUCACAUUUUUUCUAGAUCAUACUCUACACUUCCUACCUGGGGGACGCGGGUUAGGCCUUUAUAAAGUCACUCUAUGGCUGCAUGCCCGCCGCGGCACACCACCACCCAGUGAGGCGUAGAGCCCCGUGCUCCCCUCCAUCCUGGGGUAACAAUCCUAAAACAAACAAACCUGAGAGGCAGGACGCUGCCGCUGCCUGUCACCUGACACCCUCUCACUGAUGAAUGGAUCGCGGCGCGGGUGGAGAGAGACUGCCCAUCCCUCUCCACUCCGCCCGGGAAGGAACUCAUGAAUUCUCGGUUGAGUCGCGUGUGCUACCCAUUGCACUACAGAACAACAGUGGUUGGCCAGAGUUUCCAUUACCAUAUCGUCAAAGUCCAUGUCCUCCGGAAGAACCAUUAAUUAUAUAAUUAAAUCGUCACUAUUAUUUCCGCCACUUAAAACGAGCAAAGCUUA